GAUGAACGCUGGCGGCGUGCCUAAUACAUGCAAGUCGAGCGAACGGACGAGAAGCUUGCUUCUCUGAUGUUAGCGGCGGACGGGUGAGUAACACGUGGAUAACCUACCUAUAAGACUGGGAUAACUUCGGGAAACCGGAGCUAAUACCGGAUAAUAUUUUGAACCGCAUGGUUCAAGUGUGAAAGACGGUCUUGCUGUCACUUAUAGAUGGAUCCGCGCUGCAUUAGCUAGUUGGUAAGGUAACGGCUUACCAAGGCAACGAUGCAUAGCCGACCUGAGAGGGUGAUCGGCCACACUGGAACUGAGACACGGUCCAGACUCCUACGGGAGGCAGCAGUAGGGAAUCUUCCGCAAUGGGCGAAAGCCUGACGGAGCAACGCCGCGUGAGUGAUGAAGGUCUUCGGAUCGUAAAACUCUGUUAUUAGGGAAGAACAUAUGUGUAAGUAACUGUGCACAUCUUGACGGUACCUAAUCAGAAAGCCACGGCUAACUACGUGCCAGCAGCCGCGGUAAUACGUAGGUGGCAAGCGUUAUCCGGAAUUAUUGGGCGUAAAGCGCGCGUAGGCGGUUUUUUAAGUCUGAUGUGAAAGCCCACGGCUCAACCGUGGAGGGUCAUUGGAAACUGGAAAACUUGAGUGCAGAAGAGGAAAGUGGAAUUCCAUGUGUAGCGGUGAAAUGCGCAGAGAUAUGGAGGAACACCAGUGGCGAAGGCGACUUUCUGGUCUGUAACUGACGCUGAUGUGCGAAAGCGUGGGGAUCAAACAGGAUUAGAUACCCUGGUAGUCCACGCCGUAAACGAUGAGUGCUAAGUGUUAGGGGGUUUCCGCCCCUUAGUGCUGCAGCUAACGCAUUAAGCACUCCGCCUGGGGAGUACGACCGCAAGGUUGAAACUCAAAGGAAUUGACGGGGACCCGCACAAGCGGUGGAGCAUGUGGUUUAAUUCGAAGCAACGCGAAGAACCUUACCAAAUCUUGACAUCCUUUGACAACUCUAGAGAUAGAGCUUUCCCCUUCGGGGGACAAAGUGACAGGUGGUGCAUGGUUGUCGUCAGCUCGUGUCGUGAGAUGUUGGGUUAAGUCCCGCAACGAGCGCAACCCUUAAGCUUAGUUGCCAUCAUUAAGUUGGGCACUCUAAGUUGACUGCCGGUGACAAACCGGAGGAAGGUGGGGAUGACGUCAAAUCAUCAUGCCCCUUAUGAUUUGGGCUACACACGUGCUACAAUGGACAAUACAAAGGGCAGCGAAACCGCGAGGUCAAGCAAAUCCCAUAAAGUUGUUCUCAGUUCGGAUUGUAGUCUGCAACUCGACUACAUGAAGCUGGAAUCGCUAGUAAUCGUAGAUCAGCAUGCUACGGUGAAUACGUUCCCGGGUCU
RNAcentral lists this ribosomal RNA (1372 nucleotides) under uncultured bacterium. Its description in RNAcentral is "bacterial SSU rRNA". It matches the Rfam family "Bacterial small subunit ribosomal RNA", at positions 28 to 1381 of the family's 1533-position model. The record is from RNAcentral.